AUAACAACACUAGACGCAUGUCUAGAGUUUGAAAGAUGGUUCUGCUAUCACUCUUGGAUGGACCUGCGGUGCAUUAGCUAGUUGGUAAGGUAACGGCUUACCAAGGCAAUGAUGCAUAGCCGAGUUGAGAGACUGAUCGGCCACAUUGGGACUGAGACACGGCCCAAACUCCUACGGGAGGCAGCAGUAGGGAAUCUUCCACAAUGGACGAAAGUCUGAUGGAGCAACGCCGCGUGAGUGAAGAAGGGUUUCGGCUCGUAAAGCUCUGUUGGUAGUGAAGAAAGAUAGAGGUAGUAACUGGCCUUUAUUUGACGGUAAUUACUUAGAAAGUCACGGCUAACUACGUGCCAGCAGCCGCGGUAAUACGUAGGUGGCAAGCGUUGUCUGGAUUUAUUGGGCGUAAAGCGAGUGCAGGCGGUUCAAUAAGUCUGAUGUGAAAGCCUUCGGCUCAACCGGAGAAUUGCAUCAGAAACUGUUGAACUUGAGUGCAGAAGAGGAGAGUGGAACUCCAUGUGUAGCGGUGGAAUGCGUAGAUAUAUGGAAGAACACCAGUGGCGAAGGCGGCUCUCUGGUCUGCAACUGACGCUGAGGCUCGAAAGCAUGGGUAGCGAACAGGAUUAGAUACCCUGGUAGUCCAUGCCGUAAACGAUGAGUGCUAAGUGUUGGGAGGUUUCCGCCUCUCAGUGCUGCAGCUAACGCAUUAAGCACUCCGCCUGGGGAGUACGACCGCAAGGUUGAAACUCAAAGGAAUUGACGGGGGCCCGCACAAGCGGUGGAGCAUGUGGUUUAAUUCGAAGCAACGCGAAGAACCUUACCAGGUCUUGACAUCCAGUGCAAGCCUAAGAGAUUAGGUGUUCCCUUCGGGGACGCUGAGACAGGUGGUGCAUGGCUGUCGUCAGCUCGUGUCGUGAGAUGUUGGGUUAAGUCCCGCAACGAGCGCAACCCUUGUCAUUAGUUGCCAUCAUUAAGUUGGGCACUCUAAUGAGACUGCCGGUGACAAACCGGAGGAAGGUGGGGAUGACGUCAAGUCAUCAUGCCCCUUAUGACCUGGGCUACACACGUGCUACAAUGGACGGUACAACGAGAAGCGAACCUGCGAAGGCAAGCGGAUCUCUUAAAGCUGUUCUCAGUUCGGACUGUAGGCUGCAACUCGCCUACACGAAGCUGGAAUCGCUAGUAAUCGCGGAUCAGCACGCCGCGGUGAAUACGUUCCCGGGCCUUGUACUCACCGCCCGUCA
This 1238-nucleotide ribosomal RNA is filed under the name uncultured bacterium. RNAcentral's name for it is "bacterial SSU rRNA". It matches the Rfam family "Bacterial small subunit ribosomal RNA", at positions 173 to 1399 of the family's 1533-position model. The record is from RNAcentral.